UUCUUUGCUGUUUAAAAGGGAAUCCGGUUGGAAUCCGGAACAGUGCCCGCUACUGUGAACCCUGUGUGUAGAAAAGCGUCUUACACCACUGUCCGGAUGUAAGGAUGGGAAGGUUGCUUUUCUGGGGUAAGUCAGGAGACCUGCCAUGAUUGUA
This 154-nucleotide non-coding RNA is filed under the name Odoribacter splanchnicus. Lineage: Bacteria; Pseudomonadati; Bacteroidota; Bacteroidia; Bacteroidales; Odoribacteraceae. RNAcentral also lists the same sequence under 1 other name. The record is from RNAcentral.